UUAAAGGUAAGCUAAAAAUAAGCUGUUGGGCUCAUAACUCAAAAAUAGAUUUCUCCUUUAAA
Molecule: transfer RNA, 62 nt
Filed under: Galba truncatula
Lineage: Eukaryota; Metazoa; Mollusca; Gastropoda; Lymnaeidae
Description: tRNA-Met
Source: RNAcentral